Non-coding RNA from Triticum aestivum (bread wheat), 121 nucleotides. The record is from Rfam. Lineage: Eukaryota; Viridiplantae; Streptophyta; Magnoliopsida; Poales; Poaceae.
UGGCAAUGUUGAUAAAUUUAAGGCUAGUUUCUCAAAACAUUUGUAGUUGUCGUCUAAGAGCUUUCGCCUUGCCAGGCUUGAGAGCUGAUGUUGCUAAUUCCUUCCUUGGAUAUCUGAGCCU